Molecule: ribosomal RNA, 468 nt
Filed under: uncultured bacterium
Lineage: Bacteria
Description: partial 16S ribosomal RNA
Rfam family: Bacterial small subunit ribosomal RNA
Source: RNAcentral
GACGAACGCUGGCGGCGUGCUUAACACAUGCAAGUCGAACGGAAAGGCCCUGCUUUUGUGGGGUGCUCGAGUGGCGAACGGGUGAGUAACACGUGAGUAACCUGCCCUUGACUUUGGGAUAACUUCAGGAAACUGGGGCUAAUACCGGAUAGGAGCUCCUGCUGCAUGGUGGGGGUUGGAAAGUUUCGGCGGUUGGGGAUGGACUCGCGGCUUAUCAGCUCGUUGGUGGGGUAGUGGCUUACCAAGGCUUUGACGGGUAGCCGGCCUGAGAGGGUGACCGGCCACAUUGGGACUGAGAUACGGCCCAGACUCCUACGGGAGGCAGCAGUGGGAAAUAUUGCACAAUGGGCGGAAGCCUGAUGCAGCAACGCCGCGUGCGGGAUGACGGCCUUCGGGUUGGAAACCGCUUUCGCCUGUGACGAAGCGUGAGUGACGGUAAUGGGUAAAGAAGCACCGGCUAACUACGUG